UACGUAGGGUGCAAGCGUUGUCCGGAAUUAUUGGGCGUAAAGAGCUUGUAGGCGGUUUGUCGCGCCUGCUGUGAAAUUUCGGGGCUCAACCCCGAACUUGCAGUGGGUACGGGCAGACUAGAGUGUGGUAGGGGAGACUGGAAUUCCUGGUGUAGCGGUGAAAUGCGCAGAUAUCAGGAGGAACACCGAUGGCGAAGGCAGGUCUCUGGGCCACUACUGACGCUGAGAAGCGAAAGCAUGGGGAGCGAACAGG
RNAcentral lists this ribosomal RNA (253 nucleotides) under uncultured bacterium. Its description in RNAcentral is "partial 16S ribosomal RNA". It matches the Rfam family "Bacterial small subunit ribosomal RNA", at positions 524 to 776 of the family's 1533-position model. The record is from RNAcentral.